UCUGUUACCAAACUAACUGCCAGUCAUAUAAAUGGAAGCAUUACAGCCUUAAAUAGUGUUACAAACUCAUUUGAGUACUGUGUGAGAAAGCUUAGCUUUAAGCAGUGCUGGUGGUGACUAAUUUGUCCCUUGGGGGUUAACCGUAGCUGUAUGAGCUCAUUGCUGACACCGUUCAGUGCUAGAAACCUGCAUGCGACUCAACCUGACUCGACUGCUGCUGAGACCAGCUCAGCUCUCAUACAUCUCCAACUGCUGCCCAAAUGCUGAAAAAUGCCAAAGAGACCGCUUGGGGGCUUGGGGACUCGUACAGAUUCGUACAUGUACCAGAGUCAGACAGUAGACUCGGAACUUGUUAGCCCGUGGAUACUAUUGCUGCUACCUGUGGACUUUGUAGAGACUUGCUGCUGCAGUUUGGUUGAUAGUUAGUUAGACAACAUUUUGUGCCUGUUAGUGUUAAUAAUUAUUUUGCAUUUUGAUUUAAAUACUUUUAUCAUUUACAGGUCAUUUUUUAUUUCUGCUACUGGCAUGAUAGAACAUACAUAGGAGUUGGUAGAUUUUUGUUCAUUUACUGUAAAAAUAAUACAUAAUAAUAAUUUAGCAUCAACACAAUUAAUCCAGUAGGUAAAGUAACUUUAGCUUACAGCUUCAUAUUUUUGGAUGUUAAUGAAGCAUAUUGCUUUACUUCCACUCGAUAUCAGUGUCAUAGUUAGCCACUAUGCCCCCUGAUCCUUUUGUCCUCUUCUGUAUCUGCCUUCCCCUGUGUUUCCUGGCGGUCCCCUGUCCGUCUUGUGUGUGUGUGUGUGUGUGUCUGGGUUCUGGGCUGGUUUCCAGAUCUCCCGGCUGCUAUUGAUUACCGGAACACCUGAUCAUCAUCAUCAUCAUCAACCACCACAGUUAUCUACCGGGCUCAUCCACACUUCCAGCGCCAGAUCGUCUUCGUACCCAACCUCUGUGCUGCCGGUGAUCACUUCCCUGUGCCACGGCCAUCGGACUCUAGUCUCAGUCUCAGCGUGUCUUCACCCGAUCAGCCCAGCCUUCAACCACGCCAGCCAGUCCAGAACCCGCUUCCCUGGUCUCCGCUCAACGCACCACUCUCCAGCCUCCGUCCAGUCCGGUCGAACUCUCCGUGCUACAACGCACUUCGCCAGACACGCCGCGAUCUCCUGAUCUUUCCACACAAUAAAACUGUUCAGACCUUGUUCA
Molecule: long non-coding RNA, 1203 nt
Organism: Siniperca chuatsi (mandarin fish)
Lineage: Eukaryota; Metazoa; Chordata; Actinopteri; Centrarchiformes; Sinipercidae
Exons: 2
Source: RefSeq, a predicted model, not a curated record